RNAcentral lists this ribosomal RNA (305 nucleotides) under uncultured bacterium. RNAcentral describes it as "bacterial SSU rRNA". It matches the Rfam family "Bacterial small subunit ribosomal RNA", at positions 333 to 635 of the family's 1533-position model. The record is from RNAcentral.
GUGAUCCUACGGGGGGCAGCAGUGAGGAAUAUUGGUCAAUGGGCGAGAGCCUGAACCAGCCAAGUCGCGUGAAGGAUGACGGCCAUACGGGUUGUAAACUUCUUUUGUCAGGGAGCAAUUGAGUCCACGUGUGGUCUUAGCGAGAGUAACUGAAGAAAAAGCAUCGGCUAACUCCGUGCCAGCAGCCGCGGUAAUACGGAGGAUGCGAGCGUUAUCCGGAUUUAUUGGGUUUAAAGGGUGCGUAGGCGGAAUAUCAAGUCAGCGGUGAAAAUUCGGGGCUCAACCCCGUCGUGCCGUUGAAACUG